Long non-coding RNA from Alosa sapidissima (American shad), 845 nucleotides. RefSeq lists it as uncharacterized. NCBI's taxonomy places the organism in Eukaryota, Metazoa, Chordata, Actinopteri, Clupeiformes, Clupeidae. The record is from RefSeq and is a predicted model, not a curated record. The transcript is spliced from 6 exons.
AUGUCGGGUCACUUGCCGAUGUAUCCUUACAAGAUACAGAACAGCUGGGACCCAUGUCAUUAUCAAAAGAUGUCAGCUUGCUUUCCAAUGUGUCCUUGGAAGAUACACCACAGCUGGAGCACGUCACAUUCAAAAGAUGUCGAGUCACUUCCCGAUGUAUCCUUGCAAGAUACAGAACAGCUGGGACCCAUGUCAUUUCCAAAUGACCAGCUGCGUCACACUUCAAGUCCAAAAGAGCAGCCACGACACGCUUCACGUCCAAAAGCUAACUUUGUUCCAAAGAGGAAAUGGGAAACGAAGGAAGUGGAAGCAAUAGAAAAGCACUUGAGUACUUUUCUUAAACCUUUACGUGUCCCAGGGAAACUAGACUGUGUUAGAUGCUUAGAAGCAGAGCCCACAGCUUUAAAAAACAGAAACUGGCAGGCUAUCAAAUUUUUUGUGUACAACCAAAUUGUUUCCCUCAAAAGAAAACUGUAAUUCCUGAAUUUCCUGUAAUUAGUUUGGAGUGAAUAAUAGUAGAGAGAAAAUGUAAUGCAGAGAGAAGCCAUUCUAGGCAUCUCAUAAGAGGCUGCUUGUGCGUCUGUUAGCACUAUGUUGCUAGCCCAAGUAACAUUAGCUAUGGGUACAGUUUAAAACAUAUAAUUUCUUCUCUUUUGACUUACAAUACAGUACCCUCUAGAAUUAUUUGCACCUCUGCUAAAGUUGACUAAAAAGUAUCCAUUGAAACCUGUAUCCAUUGAAAACAUGGAGACCUGGAUUUCAUCCCUACGAUGAUACAAAUAGUUCAGGUUGGAGUUCCCACUUGACGAUACAAACAAACUCACACACACUGGUAUUUGUCUCUU